Molecule: ribosomal RNA, 2499 nt
Filed under: Pogostemon cablin (patchouli)
Lineage: Eukaryota; Viridiplantae; Streptophyta; Magnoliopsida; Lamiales; Lamiaceae
Description: eukaryotic LSU rRNA
Rfam family: Eukaryotic large subunit ribosomal RNA (bases 1180-2499)
Source: RNAcentral
CAUUUUGAUGACCAAACUGAUUACAUACAUGGCAAUAAUAAGGAAGUUGUUCAUAGAUAACUUAUUUCUUGAAAACCCCUCCUGAAAAUCGAAGAGUAACUUCCUCAGGAAGCUCCUUCGUUAUAUCCACAUCGAUGCGAACUCUAACAAAAGAGACUCUAUCCACAUUCCCCGACUGAGCAUCAACAUAAAUAGGCCAUCCGAAAGCAGAUGCUAUAGAACUGAUGUGAUGUUGAGUCCAAAAAUCCAAAAGAAGAAAAGGAAAACGAACCCAAACAGGCACAUGGAAAAUCUUUUUGUCACCAAAUUGAAAAGCUCUCCGGAGCUUUUCCAAAAGAAGAAAACGAUCCCAAAUAGAGUAAGGUCCCAUAUGCAAAAACAUCAACAUACCAUCCUCUCCAUAAAAUCUGAAAAUAAUCCACCCCGUAUUGUGCAUAGUAACCAUAUAUCUCACACCCCAUGUACGACAAAUUGCAUGCAACACUCGCAUACCAGGGACCCUCCUAGAAAAAUACCCAACCAACGAAUGACUCCAUAUACCCGAAUUGCAUUUAUGAUCAAGAAAGAUAGACCCAUCAUCAGUCGGUGGAAUGAACUUAAGCAACCUUUCAUUUUCAACAUGAUUAUUAUUAACAAUUUUCAAAUAAUCCAAUGGCUCACGUACCUCGGAAGAAGCUUUCCUCGAUUUAGAGCUCCCUCAUCCACCACGCUUGAAGGCCUUCUCACCCUUCAAAGGAGGAUUCGGGACAUCAUCAUUCACAACCCUCUCGCCAUUCAAAGGAGGUCUCGGCACACUAGGAGUCACAUCCGUCAUCCCCACAUCCUUCUUCAAAGCAUAAUCUAAAGCUCCCACCAAAGAUGGAGCUUCAUGCAAAGCCUCUAGAAGAUCCCUAACCACAAGCUCACCCUCAUCAACCACCUCAUUCAUCACACAAGAAGCCUUGGAAGAUUUCUUUGAAGCAACAAUAUUAGAGACCUCAUUAGACUUGAGAUUCUCCUCCAUAAUAAGAACAUGAUUUUUAACAUUGAUUGCAUGCCCCUCUUUCGAAGACUUAAAGGACUCUCCAAUAACAUGAUUAGACUCCCCUCCCUUAGAGGAUGAGGAAACCUUAGCCUUUUUCCCCAUCAAGCAAAGGAUCAAAGGACAUGCAAACCUUCAAACAUAAGAAAACCCUCGAAAAACCCUAAAAGAGGUGGCCGAAAAUUGACUGUCGGCGACCUCCACCACCGCCAACCACACUGUCCAAUGAGAUACUGUCGACUAGAAUACGAAGCAACAAAAGAAAAAGCGGAAAUCUAGAGAGAGAAAAUCCUAAAAUCUCCAGAGUACCACUCUCUUCACUUUUCCUUUAGUAACUAUGAGUAACUAUGACUCUCUUAAGGUAGCUAAAUGUCUUGUCAUCUAAUUAGUGACGUGUAUGAAUGGAUUAAUGAGAUUUCCACUGUCCUAUCUACUAUCCAGCAAAACCACAGCCAAGGGAACGGGCUUGGCGGACUCAGCAGGGAAAGAAGAUCCUAUUGAGCUUGACUCUAGUCUGACUUUGUGUAAUGACUUGAGAGGUGAAGGAUAAGUGGGAGCCCAAAGGCGAAAGUUAAAUACCACUAUUUUUAACGUAAUUUUAUUUAUUCCGUGAAUCGAAAGCGGUGCAUCGCCCCUCUUUUUGGACCCAAGGCUCGCCCCGGUGGGCCGAUCCAAGCAGAAGACAUUGUCAGGUGGGGAGUUUGGCUGGGGUGGCACAUCUGUUAAAAGAUAACGCAUGUGUCCUAGGAUGAGCUCAACGAGAACAAAAAUCUCAUGUGAAACAGAAAGGUAAAAGCUCGUUUGAUUCUGAUUUCCAGUACGAAUACGAACCAUGAAAGUGUGGCCUAACGAUCCUUUAGACCUUCGGAAUUUGAAGUUAGAGGUGUCAGAAAAGUUACCGCAAGGAUAAUUGGCUUGUGGCAGCCAAGCAUUCGUAGCGACAUUGCUUUUUGAUCCUACGAUGUUGGUUCUUCCUAUCAUUGUGAAGUAGAAUUCACCAAGUGUUGGAUUGUUCACCCACAAAUAGGAAACGUGAGCUGGGUUUAGACUGUCGUGAGACAAGUUAGUUUUACCCUACUGAUGAAGGUGUCACAAUAGUAAUUCAACCUAGUACGAGAGGAACCGUUGAUUCGCACAAUUGGUCAUCGCGCUUGGUUGAAAAUCCAGUGGCGCGAAGCUACCAUGCGCUGGAUUAUAACUGAAUGCCUCUAAGUCAGAAUUCAAGCUAGACACGAUGCAGGCGCCCGUCGUCCACUCCCUGACCCACAGUAGGGCCCCUGGGCCCCCAAGGGCACGUGUCGUUGGCCAACCCACCACGGCGGACGAGCUGCGUGGGCCCACCUCAAAGUACAAUUCCAAUCGAGCUGUGGGUAGAAUCCUUUGUAGUCGACUUAAAUACGCGGUGGGGUAUUGUAAGCGGCGGAGUGGCCUUGCUGCCAUGAUCCACUGAGAUUCAGCCCUUCGUCGCUUCGAUUUGU